RNAcentral lists this ribosomal RNA (504 nucleotides) under uncultured bacterium. Its description in RNAcentral is "bacterial SSU rRNA". It matches the Rfam family "Bacterial small subunit ribosomal RNA", at positions 28 to 518 of the family's 1533-position model. The record is from RNAcentral.
AGACGAACGCUGGCGGCGUGCCUAACACAUGCAAGUCGAGCGGGGACAUGCGACGGAUAGGAAGUUUCGGAUGGACUUGAAGAUGCAUCGUUCUAGCGGCGGACGGUGAGUAACGCGUGAGCAACCUGUCCCUUACAGGGGGAUAACACAGCGAAAGUUGUACUAAUACCGCAUAAGACCACGGGAGGACAUCCUUCAGGGGUCAAAGGAGGAAUCCGGUAAGGGGUGGGCUCGCGUCCGAUUAGAUAGUUGGUGAGGUAACGGCCCACCAAGUCGACGAUCGGUAGCCGACCUGAGAGGGUGAUCGGCCACAUUGGGACUGAGACACGGCCCAAACUCCUACGGGAGGCAGCAGUGGGGAAUAUUGGGCAAUGGGGGGAAACCCUGACCCAGCAACGCCGCGUGAGGGAAGAAGGUUUUCGGAUCGUAAACCUCUGUCCUUGGUGAAGAGGAAGAGACGGUAGCCAAGGAGGAAGCCCCGGCUAACUACGUGCCAGCCGCGGC